GAUGAACGCUAGCGGCAGGCUUAAUACAUGCAAGUCGUGGGGCAGCAUGAGUAGCAAUACUUGAUGGCGACCGGCAAACGGGUGAGGAACACGUACACAACCUUCCUUCAAGCGGGGAAUAGCCCAGAGAAAUUUGGAUUAAUACCCCAUAAUAUAUUUGAUAAGGCAUCUUAUUAAUAUUAAAGCUUCGGCACUUGAUGAUGGGUGUGCGGCUGAUUAGAUAGUUGGCGGGUAACGGCCCACCAAGUCUACGAUCAGUAGCUGAUGUGAGAGCAUGAUCAGCCACACGGGCACUGAGACACGGGCCCGACUCCUACGGGAGGCAGCAGUAAGGAAUAUUGGACAAUGGACGAAAGUCUGAUCCAGCCAUGCCGCGUGAAGGAUUAAGGUCCUCUGGAUUGUAAACUUCUUUAUAUGGGACGAAAAAAGGGCAUUCUUGUUCACUUGACGGUACCAUAUGAAUAAGCACCGGCUAAACUCCGUGCCAGCA
Molecule: ribosomal RNA, 490 nt
Filed under: uncultured bacterium
Lineage: Bacteria
Description: bacterial SSU rRNA
Rfam family: Bacterial small subunit ribosomal RNA
Source: RNAcentral